GGGAGAGAGACAGGACCCUAGCUGCACCGGCGGCGCGCGCGCCGAGGGCGGGAAUGGUGUCGGUUGACGGUUAACGGUUAACGGUUAAAGGAGGAGGACAGCCCGGCGCCGCCAUUUCCCCAUUAAUGUCAGCGGCUUGAAAGACGGAGAUGGGGGCGGGAUGGCUUUUUUUCCUCCCCACGCCUUCGGGGUUUUUCCAUCUCUGAGGGAAUGGGUUUCCGGCAGGCGCCGCCCAGGCCGGAAGCGGAACGUUGCAGGUGUUGCAAUUGAGAGUAUUCCUCCAAACCCCUCAUCAUUGAUCUUCCAUCAACAGGACUCAUUCUCUCGAUUUCACAGUUUGUGUUCUUCGUUUCAUUAAGGUUGAAGGCAGUCUCUAUCUAUGAAGGAUGCAUUGAGAUAUUAGUGAAUGAACUUUAAGAUGAAGACCCGGAGAAGCAACCAAUGAGCUGCAGCCAGGGAUUUUGCAGUCGUAUUUAUUGCCAGAAUAUUUGAUGUGUGAACAUGGAUGUCAGUACUCAAGAAAUACUUGAUGAAAUCAGGACCUCUCAGGAGCAAGGUGAUGAUGGAAACUUGUUUUACUUGUAUGUGGCGACCCCUGGUGGAGCUCCAAAAGACAUCCAUAAAAAAUUGGUAAAGCCUUUUCUGCAGGAGCGUGGAUGGCAGAAAGUCAGCUAUCCAAACACUGGAUUCAGGGCAUUAUACUUUUGCCACAAAAAGUCAGACGGACUGGAGAAAGCAGAAGCUGUGAGAGACCGAGCGGAGCUGAAAAACAAACUGGAUGAAUAUAAAGAACUGAAUAAGGUUGACUUCAAAAUCCACAUGGUGCUAUCCGUACCUGUAAAUUACAACGAAGAUUUUGUCGAAUUGACUUCUCAGCCUGGAUCUAUUGAAUGGUGAAAGUAAAGUUGUGCAAUAAUGGGUUCACAGGCAAUUCAGCUUUGUCUGUCUGCAAUGGAUAUAUAUAGCCUCAAGUAAAUAUUGAACUUAGUAGCAUGUUCUGACUUUUUGCAAUGAAUGUUAAUAAUCAGGGCAUGAUUUAUUUGGAUUAAAUUAUGUCAACAAAGUAAAAAUUGAAAACAAACUGUGCACUUUUAAAACUGUACUUAUCCCUUUUAUGCCUCCCAUGUAUUCUAUCAGCCAAAAAAAAAUCUGUAUUGUAGACAGGCCCUUAGUCAUAAUCAGUGCUACUCUGAAUGAAUUCUAGGUGACAUGCUCUGCAGUAAUCUAGUCAUCUUUUUGUGUUAGCAAUUAUGAAGAGGGCUGUAGAUGUGAAUGUUAUGCAUAUCAAUAGAUGGAACCAUUCAGAACAUGGGAAACAAAAGUAUCUGUAACUUUCAGAUGAUGACCUGAAGUCAUAAAUUGAAGCCAAUCUUCAACACAAAACGGCAUAAAUGCAACAAAACUAAGUUAUUUUUACUUACGUAGAACGUAUAAAAUAAAGAAACCGUGCAGCUAAUUAUUCCUGUUUGGGCAUGUUUAAUAAUUCAGUUUCAUGCUUUAGGUUUCAUAGAUAUCGAAAAUUUAACUUGUUUCCUGCAGGUGCAAUGCAUUUGACAAUAUAGUUUUUGUUUGGUUGAAUAGAGGAAAAUGAAUGUACCUAAAUGAUGUAAAUGUACCCUGCCAGCUUUGUACAAUUUUUAAUUCUUUCAAAUAUGCAUGCCCAAAUUACUUUAAUGUCCACCUUGUUAGUUCUGUGGAUUUGAAAAUAAUUAGAUAGUUUCUCACUUUACAUCCAACAUAAACUUGAGCUCAUCCAAAACUCUGGUAUCCUUAUCCUAAUUCAUACCAGGUCCAAUAUCCCUCAUUUCUGUACUCACUAAUCUAUGUUGGCUCCUACACUUCACAGUAGGUGUAAUUAAAAUUAUUUAAAAUUCUCAACCUUCUUUCUCAUCCCUCCAUCUGUUUGUCCUCCCGAUUAUUGAAAUUCCUCCCAUCCUCUAAAUCUCUGAGCUUCUUCAAGCAUUUUUCAUAUCCUUGAUUUUAAUCACUUCUCUGUUGGCAGCUGUGCCUUCCACGACCUAAGCCUUAAAUUCUGGAAUUUUUUUCUGAAAAAUCUCUCCUUUAACAUGCUCCUUGAAACUACCACUUUAAUUAUCCCAAUAUUUUUUCUUUGUUGUGAUUGGGCAAAUUUUGUUUCAUAAUCUCCUGUGAAGCACCUUGUAAGAUUUUACUAUGUUGAAGAAACUGUAUGUAAUUUGAAUGUAUAUGUGAAAUGCAUAUACAUUUAGAAUGAAAUUCUAUUAAAGCCACCUCUAAAUAGUUAA
Long non-coding RNA from Rhincodon typus (whale shark), 2264 nucleotides. RefSeq lists it as uncharacterized. Lineage: Eukaryota; Metazoa; Chordata; Chondrichthyes; Orectolobiformes; Rhincodontidae. The transcript has 5 exons. The record is from RefSeq and is a predicted model, not a curated record.